CAAUAUCGCCAAAUUGAAAACAAGGGUGAUCACUAUCAAGGAUUACGAAGGGUUCAUUAGGACAUCUAGGUUGGCUACUACUUUCAACUUGUUUAUCUUUUUUAGGUCGGGAAGCCGGGGGAGGGGGAGUUUUUUGGACACUACUUUCACCGGUUUUACCUUUUCCUUUACCGAACAUAUUUUUCAACGAAAAUGCCAUAAAAUGCAAAUAUCUAGCCUUAUCUCUAGGGUGUAAUUUUAUAUGCUUAACUAACUACUCGUGCCGCUACGAUCUCCAGUAUACCUAUGAACAACUAAUUUCCCACAAGAUUUACACUUAGCCUUAUUUUGUUCUCUUAGUUGAAUAAAAAAUUGCCAAA
This 359-nucleotide long non-coding RNA is filed under the name Nicotiana benthamiana. RNAcentral's name for it is "long non-coding RNA (NBEN_LNC033186)". The record is from RNAcentral. Lineage: Eukaryota; Viridiplantae; Streptophyta; Magnoliopsida; Solanales; Solanaceae.